UUUUCAUCAUUCACACAAUCCAAUCAAAUUUCCUAGGUUUACCAACAUUUUCAUCAUGCACACAAUUCAAUUAAAUUUCAAGGGUUUAACAACAACAUUUUCAUCAUUCCCACUAUUCAAUCAAAUUUCAUGGGUUUAACAUCAUCAUUUUCAUCAUUCNACAUCAACAUUUUCAUCAUUCCUACCAUUCAAUCGAAUUUCAUGGGUUUAGCAUCAACAUUUUCAUCAUUCCCACAAUUCAAUCAAAUUUCAUGGGUUAAACAUCACAUUUUCAUCAUUUCCAUAAUUCAAUCAAACUUCAUAGGUUUAACAAAAACGUUU
Molecule: long non-coding RNA, 321 nt
Filed under: Lathyrus oleraceus (garden pea)
Lineage: Eukaryota; Viridiplantae; Streptophyta; Magnoliopsida; Fabales; Fabaceae
Description: Pisum sativum (pea) long non-coding RNA (PSAT_LNC040756)
Source: RNAcentral